Molecule: non-coding RNA, 325 nt
Organism: Diceros bicornis minor
Lineage: Eukaryota; Metazoa; Chordata; Mammalia; Perissodactyla; Rhinocerotidae
Product: small Cajal body-specific RNA 7
Exons: 1
Source: RefSeq, a predicted model, not a curated record
UGGAAAUGAUGAAAUAGAGAUAAUUGGGUGUUGAAUGUUGUAUGAUUGGAAAUUUUUAGUAUGUAAAGUAAUUAAUCUAAGUUUAAUGUUUUGUAGAUACUUAAUAGAGAGUAUGUGUGCAUGUGUGUGUGCUCCUGGAGGCUAUGGAAAGGGGGCACUGACUAGUGAUGCUGAUAUUGGAGUGCAUCUGAGGCUGUUGUAGAAUACAUGGGUUGUUGAUUACAACAUUGCCGAUGAUUAAAACCCAAGAACAGCUCACCUAAGUAGUCUAGCACCCUAAAAUCUCUAACAGGGUCGUUAAACAUGGUCCUGUGAUCUGAUCCAG